AGAGUUUGAUCCUGGCUCAGGACGAACGCUGGCGGCGCGCCUAACACAUGCAAGUCGAGCGAGAACCAGGGCUUCGGCCCUGGGGACAGCGGCGAACGGGUGAGUAACACGUGGAUAACCUGCCCUCGGCACCGGAAUAGCCCGGGGAAACCCGGAUUAAUGCCGGAUAGCCCCACAUCCCUGCGGGGAACGUGGGAAAAGGUAGCUUCGGCCUCUGGCCGAGGAUGGGUCCGCGGUGGAUUAGCUUGUUGGCGGGGUAACGGCCCACCAAGGCGACGAUCCAUAGCUGGUCUGAGAGGACGAUCAGCCACACUGGGACUGAGACACGGCCCAGACUCCUACGGGAGGCAGCAGUGGGGAAUCUUGCGCAAUGGGCGAAAGCCUGACGCAGCGACGCCGCGUGCGGGAAGAAGGCCUUCGGGUUGUAAACCGCUUUCAGGAGGGACGAAGCCACUCGGGUGAAUAGCCCAGAGGGUGACGGUACCUCCAGAAGAAGCCCCGGCUAACUACGUGCCAGCAGCCGCGGUAAUACGUAGGGGGCAAGCGUUGUCCGGAUUCAUUGGGCGUAAAGAGCGUGUAGGCGGCCAGGUAGGUCGGUUGUGAAAACUGGAGGCUCAACCUUCAGACGUCGACCGAAACCAUCUGGCUAGAGUCCGGGAGAGGAGAGUGGAAUUCCUGGUGUAGCGGUGAAAUGCGCAGAUAUCAGGAAGAACACCCGUGGCGAAAGCGGCUCUCUGGAACGGUACUGACGCUGAGACGCGAAAGCGUGGGGAGCGAACAGGAUUAGAUACCCUGGUAGUCCACGCCGUAAACGAUGGGCGCUAGGUGUGGGAGGUGUCGACUCCUUCCGUGCCGCAGCUAACGCAUUAAGCGCCCCGCCUGGGGAGUACGGCCGCAAGGCUAAAACUCAAA
RNAcentral lists this ribosomal RNA (912 nucleotides) under uncultured bacterium. RNAcentral describes it as "bacterial SSU rRNA". It matches the Rfam family "Bacterial small subunit ribosomal RNA", at positions 8 to 905 of the family's 1533-position model. The record is from RNAcentral.